GUCAUACGCAUAUAGAGACCCCUUUGUUGUUAUUGGUUUUUCCUCGCAAGAAAAUCAUAGCACAAAGUGGUCUUUUUUACUACCCUAA
This 88-nucleotide unclassified non-coding RNA is filed under the name Pseudoselenomonas ruminantium. RNAcentral's name for it is "Selenomonas ruminantium none". The record is from RNAcentral. Lineage: Bacteria; Bacillati; Bacillota; Negativicutes; Selenomonadales; Selenomonadaceae.